This 274-nucleotide ribosomal RNA is filed under the name uncultured bacterium. Its description in RNAcentral is "partial 16S ribosomal RNA". It matches the Rfam family "Bacterial small subunit ribosomal RNA", at positions 523 to 796 of the family's 1533-position model. The record is from RNAcentral.
CUACGGAGGGUGCAAGCGUUAUUCGGAAUCACUGGGCGUAAAGGACGCGUAGGCGGGUUGGCAAGUCAGAUGUGAAAUCCUACAGCUUAACUGUAGAACUGCAUUUGAAACUGCCGACCUCGAGUAUGGGAUGGGGAGAUGGAAUUAGUGGCGUAGGGGUAAAAUCCGUAGAUAUCACUAGGAAUACCGAAAGCGAAGGCGAUCUCCUGGAACAUAACUGACGCUAAGGCGUGAAAGCGUGGGGAGCAAACAGGAUUAGAAACCCUAGUAGUCC